UACGUAGGGGGCAAGCGUUGUCCGGAAUCAUUGGGCGUAAAGAGCGCGUAGGUGGCUUUAUAAGUCCGUUGUGAAAGUCAAAGGCUCAACCUUUGAAAGCCGAUGGAUACUGUGAAGCUAGAGUACGGAAGAGGCGAGUGGAAUUCCUGGUGUAGCGGUGGAAUGCGCAGAUAUCAGGAGGAACACCAAUAGCGAAGGCAGCUCGCUGGGACGUUACUGACACUGAGGCGCGAAAGCGUGGGGAGCGAACAGG
Molecule: ribosomal RNA, 253 nt
Filed under: uncultured bacterium
Lineage: Bacteria
Description: partial 16S ribosomal RNA
Rfam family: Bacterial small subunit ribosomal RNA
Source: RNAcentral